RNAcentral lists this ribosomal RNA (497 nucleotides) under uncultured bacterium. Its description in RNAcentral is "partial 16S ribosomal RNA". It matches the Rfam family "Bacterial small subunit ribosomal RNA", at positions 36 to 507 of the family's 1533-position model. The record is from RNAcentral.
GCUUCCCUCUGGCGGCGUGCCUAAUAUAUGCAAGUCGAGCGAACAGACGAGGAGCUUGCUCCUCUGACGUUAGCGGCGGACGGGCGAGUAACACGUGGAUAACCUACCUAUAAGACUGGGAUAACUUCGGGAAACCGGAGCUAAUACCGGAUAAUAUAUUGAACCGCAUGGUUCAAUAGUGAAAGACGGUUUUGCUGUCACUUAUAGAUGGAUCCGCGCCGCAUUAGCUAGUUGGUAAGGUAACGGCUUACCAAGGCAACGAUGCGUAGCCGACCUGAGGGGGUGAUCGGCCACACUGGAACUGAGACACGGUCCAGACUCCUACGGGAGGCAGCAGUAGGGAAUCUUCCGCAAUGGGCGAAAGCCUGACGGAGCAACGCCGCGUGAGUGAUGAAGGUCUUCGGAUCGUAAAACUCUGUUAUUAGGGAAGAACAAAUGUGUAAGUAACUAUGCACGUCUUGACGGUACCUAAUCAGAAAGCCACGGCUAACUACGUG